Molecule: long non-coding RNA, 389 nt
Organism: Alosa sapidissima (American shad)
Lineage: Eukaryota; Metazoa; Chordata; Actinopteri; Clupeiformes; Clupeidae
Exons: 3
Source: RefSeq, a predicted model, not a curated record
UACUUGCUUUCUUAUUCUCUUUACGCGCUAUUUGUUUGAGUGUUUUUGUCUGUGUGGUAUACCAUGGAGCACGCCUUACUUGUUUUCUUAUUCUCUUUUUGAGUGGUGCUACUGAAUCAAGGGUUGAGCGUAAUGAGUUCAUCACAUUAUCAGUUAACAAGUCGACCUCGGCUGGAUUAAGGAAAGGGCCUUCUGAUAGGCCUACCACAUGAGUCCGGAAUGGGGCAAGUGUAAGCGAAAUUUUUUCUAGAAAGUCUGCAUUAGUUUUUUCAGAUACGCCGCGGCUGUAGUAUUCAGCUAAAUUAGGUACUGCAUGUUGUAAUGUCAUUGUAAAAGUAAUUAGAUGGUGGUCAGUUAAGGUCGGGUGUUGUGGCAAGAUUGUUAACUGC